Camelus dromedarius (Arabian camel) is the source of this 167-nucleotide long non-coding RNA. RefSeq lists it as uncharacterized. The record is from RefSeq and is a predicted model, not a curated record. The transcript has 3 exons. NCBI's taxonomy places the organism in Eukaryota, Metazoa, Chordata, Mammalia, Artiodactyla, Camelidae.
GUGGCAGACCUCGAAGAGUCUUCCAUUCUCGUGCAACCCACAGAAGUCAGGAUCCGAAGUGCCUUCUAACUCAGUCCACUCUCUGAGACCUUCUGAUAUUAAAUUUGUGGCAGCCAUUGGCGAUGUGGAAACUCCUCCAGACUCAGGGACAGGCGACCUGGAGAAGC